AUGAACGAGCUGCUGAGUGCUGAGUUCACCAAGGAAGAAGUAAAGGCUGCCAUAGAGUCAAUUGGCGAUCUAAAGGCUCCAGGGCCUGAUGGGAUGUCUGCAAUAUUUUUCAAGAGAUUUUGGCACAUUGUGGGGGAAAAGGUUACUCUUGAGAUUCUACAGUUUCUCAAAGGAGGUGGAUGGGGAUAUGUGCUUAGAAAUGACAAAGGAGAGGUGUUGGCAGCAGGUGCAGGAUCUAUGCAGCACAUUUCUGAAGCUAGCCAUGUAGAAAGUCUAGCACUCCUCCAGGCAAUCAAUAGGGCAAAUGAGCUGGGAUGUAACCGAUUAAUUUUUGAAACUGAUGCUUUUGUACUGAAACAAACAGUAACGAGUGAAGCUUACGACAACUCAAGGCAUGGAGCACUGUUUAAAGAAAUCAAAACAUUACUGCAUACAUACUUUGAUGAUGCAAGUGUUGAAUGGUGUAAUCGUUCCUGCAACUCUGUUGCUCAUAGUGUAGCGUCCUUUGGCGCUGGUUUGGAAUUAGGUAGCCAACAACACUGGCUAGGUGUAUUUCCAAACUUUGUAAAUGUUGCGGUGGCUGGCGAUGUGCCACACCGUAUUAUGUAA
RNAcentral lists this ribosomal RNA (609 nucleotides) under Triticum aestivum (bread wheat). RNAcentral's name for it is "partial small subunit ribosomal RNA". Lineage: Eukaryota; Viridiplantae; Streptophyta; Magnoliopsida; Poales; Poaceae. The record is from RNAcentral.